RNAcentral lists this ribosomal RNA (253 nucleotides) under uncultured bacterium. Its description in RNAcentral is "partial 16S ribosomal RNA". It matches the Rfam family "Bacterial small subunit ribosomal RNA", at positions 524 to 776 of the family's 1533-position model. The record is from RNAcentral.
UACGUAGGGGGCAAGCGUUGUCCGGAAUCAUUGGGCGUAAAGCGCGUGUAGGCGGCUCGGUAAGUCCGCUCUGAAAGCCCGGGGCUCAACCCCGGGAGGCGGGUGGAUACUGCUGAGCUCGAGUCCGGAAGAGGAGUGUGGAAUUCCUGGUGUAGCGGUGAAAUGCGCAGAUAUCAGGAGGAACACCAAUGGCGAAGGCAGCACUCUGGGACGAUACUGACGCUGAGACGCGAAAGCGUGGGGAGCGAACAGG